Long non-coding RNA from Puntigrus tetrazona (Sumatra barb), 4359 nucleotides. RefSeq lists it as uncharacterized. The record is from RefSeq and is a predicted model, not a curated record. NCBI's taxonomy places the organism in Eukaryota, Metazoa, Chordata, Actinopteri, Cypriniformes, Cyprinidae. The transcript has 2 exons.
AAUGCAGGUUUGGAACUACUUGAGGGUGAGUAACUACUUGAGGGUUUUCAUUUUUGGGUGAACUAUUCCUUUAAGUAAUUUAUGUGAAUUGUAAAAUAUUUUAUCUGAGCAAGCAGGAUACUCUAUAUCUUUUAUAUCUAUCUAUAUCUAUAUUCUAUAUCUAUCUAUAUCUAUACAGCUAUGGAAUUCGGUAUGCUAUUUGUCCAUAAAGUUCAACCCCUAUUAAAGCUGCAAGCAGCACUGAAAGGGUCCUUGCACUCCAGCUCACCUUCACCAAGUUACUUUGGGAAACCAGUGAUGUAAAAUUCAUUUCUAUGAGCCAAACUUCCUGCCGCCAACUGGUGGCGCUCUGACUAUAAAUGAAUAUUGGCAUGUAGAUGUAUUCAGGCCAGCACUUUCAUCAAACUUGAAGUUCGGUGCAGAUUAAACAUUGCAUGUUUGAAUUGGUGUAAAGCAUGAAAUAUCCUGUCGUCAACAGGUGGUGCUAUGAUUAUAACUAAAUAUUGGCCUUUAGAUGUCUUUGUGACCGGACUCUUAUCAACUAUGUGUAGCUGGGUGCAGACUGGACGUUGCAUGUUUAAGUUUGUGUAUAGAAUUUGUGCCCAUCAUUUUCUGUUGCCAGCAGGUGGCGCUAUGAUUAUAACUGACUAUUGGCCUUUAGAUUUGUUCAUUUUGGGGCAGAUCAGCCAUUGUAUGUCUGAAUUGUAACAACUUCCUUUUUGAUGGCAAAAAAAAGUUUGGCAGGCCACCAGGACGAUUUUAUAAAAAUGCAAGAUAUUCGCAAUUUAACAUCACAUAUGGCUUUAGAUUACACUGACCAAAUUUGGGGUUGAUCUAUCUAAAUCACUAGGAGUUUUUUUAAAAAUGCCUGAAAAUGGCACAAAACUUAGAGAGCAUAUUCAAAAUAACAAACUUCCUAUUAAGUGUUGGAAUUCAAACCUGCAGACAUCUUUGUAGAUAUGUGUAUUACACGUGUGUACCAAAUUUCGUACAUGUAUGUAAAACACAGCUCGAGAGGCACUGCAUUGAAAUUUGGAGUUGGUGCUAUUUUGCCACAUCCACUUCUGAAACCCAUAUCAGAUAUAAAUUUUCACCACUUCUGGUUUCACUCAAAGCUUCACAAGUUUUCAAGAACGUUUAGUCUUUCAAAAAUGUGAUUUAUUUUGGAGAAGAAGAAUUGUACUCAGUUAAAAGUCACGCAGUGUAACUUUACGGCCAUUAAUUGGAGUAGAGAUCAAAAAAAGUUUUUGUGCAGAGUCAUGGUGCUGCAAGGAAAGCAGUACUUGUUCUCGUAUCUCAGGGAACUGAGGUUACGUAUGUAACUGAUUACUUUCCCUUUAAUACUUCACUCGUACUGAAUCACUAGACAUUGUGGGGAACUAAUACAAUCCCGCUGUGCCAUAAAGAGGAACGGUUGACAUGAACUGGCCUUGAGCAGCAGAGACUCAGAGGGACUAAUUAUACAUAGGGUGGGCCCUGCAGGAGGCAAAAGGAAUGAAAUCACCAAGGGUUUUUUUUGUACUGUCUCAGCACUAUUAAUAAGGCAAAGAAAAUACCUGAAAGAAUAGGUAAUGGCUAAAAAAUUAGACCACCUUAGACAGGCGUGUUCAAAUACAAAAGGGUCAACUAACCUUUAAGAAACCCUCUGCUUUUUGACUGAGAGCCCUUUGGUUCACUACCAAAGCAUAUGAAAAGUUGUUUCAACUGCCUGAAUGGGGCAUAACGCUAAAUGUAAAUUCUCAAUGCCCUGACUGGGCAGAGAAGGUUAAACUCCUGGUUUUCCUCAGGAGGAAAGGCAGAUAGAUUAAUAACUGGGAUACUAAACAGAGUGUAGAGCACUUUAUAGACAUACUUAUGUCUUGGUUUUGAGAUUGAAGUUGUUAGGCCCAAACUCAAGACAGGCAGGUCCCACAUAGGGACUUUGGGAGACCGGGGUAGAAAGAGCCUUUUGGAUACCCUCAGGAAAUGGAAAAGUUGUUCUGGCCCACAGACUGUCCGGUUAUAGGAGCAUGGGAAACUGCUAUAGCUGUCACAUAGACUUUGAGUGUGGAAGAGGAGAGGGCCUUAUCCAACAGAUCUUGUAUGUAAGACAAUAUCACUUAUAUGUCACAUGAAACUGGGUCUUUGUCACAGGUUGCACAGCAGGCAGGAAAGACCUACCACUUAAGGGCACAGAAGCAUAUCGUAGAUGGGGCUCUAUCCUGUGAGAUAGCAUUCAGGAUACUGCCAGGCAGAUCUACUGAUUCACAUCAAGAGCUCAGAGGUGCAGAGCUCACAGCUCAAGCUGGGGGUGCCUAUUGGAUCUGCUUGGCUAAAAGAAAAGUUCCUGCCUGUGGGGAAUGGGUUACGGGAGCUGCUAUCAACAGCUGAGACAGCUCUGAAACUCACAGUUGGAUGUGUCAGUCGAGACAAUCUUCCUUCUGUGAAUCAAACCCAUAGUCACACCCUGCUUGAACCACUAUGGGUUUUUCCAGGGGGCCAGAACUGUUAGGCAGGCCUGGCUCACCCUGACAAAAAAUAAUCCAUGAUGCACACAUGGGGUGGAGUUUGUGGUUUCAACCAGUACUGAAGGGGUCUCAUGUGCAGGCACAAUUGAAGUACCAGUGAGGCAGAGGCCAUGAGGUCCAGCAAUUACUGUAUGGUCAGUCCACAGUCAAAAACUGCUCCCAGGAAUGCAGUUAGUUGGCUGGGAGACAGAGUGCUCUUGGCAAAAUUGAUCCUAAGUCCCAGGCACUCUAAGUAGCUGAGGAGGAGGAACCUAUGGGCUAUUAGCUUGGCCUCUGACUGGACUAAGUCACCAAAAUAAUUCAGGAUACAGAAUACAGAUAUAGAUCUGCCGCAUAUUUUACUUCGUAAAAGUGUGAGAAGCCGGGGACACCCCAAAGGGCAGGGCCAUGUAUUGACAUGUCACUCCAUUGAAUCUCAAGAAUCGUCUGUGAUGGGGGCUACCUGGAUGUGAAAGUAAGCAACUUUUAGUUACAGAGAAAGGAACCAGUCCUUCGGGCCUGUUUAUUAGAGGAUCUGUUUUAGGGUAGCCUGAACAGCGACCCAGUUGCAUAAUUUUGCUAGCGACAAAAUACAAGUAUCGAAAAGGGAACUGAGUAAUUCCAACGGGAUCCUUGCCCAAAUAAAAUAAUGCAUGGCCUCUUAAAAAGUCCAAAAAAACUGGCCCCCAAGGGAUAAUUACAACGAUUUUCACACUAAAUCAGGAAACUAGAAAUUGCCAAUAAUGGAUAGAUAGAUAGACAGACAGACAGACAUAAAUUUAUGCUGUCUCAGCACUGCCACAUCAGCAAAUGUUAAGUGCUUUAUGUGCUUCAGUAGUUGCAUCAAGUAAUUUCACUGAUGCUAUUGCCAUGCUGUAAAUGUGUGUACUUCAGAUUUUAUUAGUGUUCCCAGUCACUUUUUCCAUUACCUACAGGCACACCAGUGACAUUACAUGCAUUUAGUUCAAAUGCGUGAGCAGUCUGCCAGGAAUUAAGGACAUAAGACUAAAAUUAGAGAUGGAAAUAUGACAAGGUUGUUUGCUCAGGAGAGUGAUUAAGUGAGACAGCCAGAGCAGACAGGUUAGAACUGCUCAGACUGGCUAAAAUAAUGUUAUAUACUCUAACAAGUCAUGUUUAUUUAAUCUAUCUGCCAUGUAUUUAUAUUCGUCAAAUAAAUGAAUGCAUGAUUAUAACUGAUGCAUUUUCACAAGCCUAUCGAUGAGCCUAUUCAUGAAAAUAUUAGGGUCUCUGUAGGGCUUCCAGUGGAUAGAUUCGGAAAAAUCAUUAUUACUCUCUUCUUCAAAUGACGUCAGAACAAGAGCAUACGAGAUGAGCCCAGUGUAUUUAAAAGGGCUUAGGCAAAAUAAAUGGCCUCACAAUAAACAGAAGCGACACAACAGUUUCCAGCGCUUCAACACGACUGAAGAAUGUUUUCCAUUUCUUUUGUUCUAAUCGCUCUUCUGCUGCCAGUCGGAGGUGCACCUGUCAAACCAGCACAUGUAUUUUUCAGUAGAGUGAUGGAAACUUUAGCAGACAAACAGAUGGCAACAUCUGAAGGCUACAUUCCUGAAGAGCUAUCAAAUUUAAAGUAUACCUUACAGGACAAUAACAUGCUUUUCAGAGGAACGCCCACGAAAAGGCACGAAGAGAAUGUAGCUGAAUCCCCCUCCGACGUUUUCUCAGUGAAACAGACUAAACGCAAAGAAGGCUGCAAGUUUCUCUACUGGAAAUCAUGGACCGCUUGCUAAAACUUGAAAUGUUUCAAAUGCAAAACUGCUAUUGAGUGUGUCGUAUCCUUCUUCCUUUUUUGUAAAAGUAGUAAAUGUGUCAUUGUGCGCAUGAAUGUACUUUUUCAAUAUUAAUAUUGACUCAC